UACGUAGGGGGCAAGCGUUGUCCGGAAUCAUUGGGCGUAAAGAGCGUGUAGGCGGCCAGAUAAGUCCGCUGUGAAAUCUCGAGGCUCAACUUCGAGCUGUCGGUGGAAACUGUCUGGCUAGAGUCCGGAAGAGGAGAAUGGAAUUCCUGGUGUAGUGGUGAAAUGCGCAGAUAUCAGGAAGAACACCCGUGGCGAAGGCGGUUCUCUGGGACGGUACUGACGCUGAGACGCGAAAGCGUGGGGAGCGAACAGG
RNAcentral lists this ribosomal RNA (253 nucleotides) under uncultured bacterium. Its description in RNAcentral is "partial 16S ribosomal RNA". It matches the Rfam family "Bacterial small subunit ribosomal RNA", at positions 524 to 776 of the family's 1533-position model. The record is from RNAcentral.